CACGUUUCGCAACCGCAACUGGCUCUUCCUCAUCGUCAAAAUAGUAAAAAUCAUCCAGACGAACACCACGCGAUGCUUCUUUUCCAACUUCAGAAUCCAUAUCAGUAUCCAUAUCAUCUAUUAUAGGCCCCAAGGACUCUAAUGAAUCCUGUUCUUGAGUAGGACUACACAAUUCCACUAACCCACCAGUCAAAUUGGUAUCUUCAUCCAUUGAAAUCCCACGAGAAUUUUGUAUACCUUGAGGAGCUUCAUAAAUGCGAUUGAUAGCAAAGUCCCCGAAACCUUGGAUAUGUAUUAAACGAUUCGGGUCUAAACCCUUGCCACGCACAAUUCCGCGAACUAAAAGAUUUCCGUUACUAUAAGAGAUUUCUUGAGACAACAAGUAAGAUCUUGAAUCACGCCAAUGUAUUCCACGUGGAUGUGAUGUACACAAUGCACGCAUAACGUUCAAAGCAUCCUGAGAAACAUCCGCGGCAAACACACGUUCUUGGUCUGAGAAAAAAAAGUUCAUAAAGCUCUGUAGCGACUUUUUAACUUCGUUCCGAGUCUUUAAACUAUCCACCUCAGAAAGAUCAUGUACCAUAGACAAAACACUGGAAAUUCCUUGCCCUUGAGUUGUGCGAACAAUGAGUUCGCCAAAUUCAUCAACUUCUUGGACAGCAGAAAGAACGAAAAUAACAUAAUCCGAAACUUUACAAGCAUCGAUAAGAGAAUAAAACUCCCGUUUAGGAAGCAGAAACAAUAAAUUCUGUUUAAACCGAUCAAUUGUUGUAGAAUAACUAAUCGAAUCCUUGUCAAACUUGGGCAAACUAGC
Molecule: non-coding RNA, 814 nt
Organism: Schizosaccharomyces pombe (fission yeast)
Lineage: Eukaryota; Fungi; Ascomycota; Schizosaccharomycetes; Schizosaccharomycetales; Schizosaccharomycetaceae
Source: the annotation of a GenBank genome assembly